AAAUUUGAAGAAUGUCAUUUAUGAUGUAGAUGAAGAUCUACAAACUUGGAAAAAAAUUAACUCCCCCCAGAGUAGUCAUGUAUGAAUUACGCAAACAUUGAUGAAAUAAAAAGUUUGAGCACCAGUCAUUGAAGAGGUUUAUUUAAGGGGUGAAAAUGAAGAUUGUAGGAGCCAUGGGUUUAACUGUUGUUUGUAUUGAGGUGAAUGAAUAUUGUUUUUUUGAUUUUAGUAUUGCUUGCAUUUAUACUGAGCAGGUAAUCACCUGGUGGGUCACGUGUUUGUGGGUGGAAUCACUGUAAUCACACUUUCUUGUGAUUAUAACACACCUGUUGAUUUUGCACUUGUAAGUUAAAGGGCUUUUAAGUUCUAAUGAUAAAAAGAUGAAAGUGAUGGUAUUUGGUCCUAGCAGCUCCUGUGACCCCUCCCUCAGUGGAGCUGGGUCCUUUGGCUCCACAUCUCAAACAGUCCGUGUCAAAUCUGGGUUUAGAAAUGGACAGUGAUUUGAAACUCAACUGUCACAUCAGCUCAGCUGUAAAAUCCAGAUUCUUUUAUCUGAGGCAGUUGGUGAAGGUGAAACCGUUUUUAUCUAAACAUCAAUUUCAGACAGUAAUCCAUGCUUUCAUCACAUCUCGGCUGGAUUACUGUACCUCUCUUUAUUUUGGAGUAAGCCACUCAUCCUUCUCACGCCCCCAGUUGGUCCAGAAUGCUGCUGCUCCGGUUCUGGUUGGAGCGCGUAAGAGGGACCACAUCAUGUAAUGUUUUUUAACGUACGACCCUUUGUUUAACUUAGGUCAUUUUACAGCAGCAUAUAAAUUAAUAAAACUUAAACUUCAAAUGUAGUUUUUUUGAUCGUGGUAAAGGGUAAUUAAAGGCUCUUAUAAGACCAGAUAGUCUUCAGUAUAUUUUCAUAAUCUCCAUCCAUCAUGCAGGCCUCGAUAUUUCUUGUGCAGCGUUGUUGGAGUUGCUGGAGCCUAUUCUGGCUAGCUUGAGGUGAAGGCAGAGAUCACUCUGGACAGCUUGCCCAUUCAUCACAGGGUCACAGUAAUAACCUCACACCCACUCUCAGUCUUCAGGGGGAGGAGCCAGGACUGCACACUGAAAAGACCCAGUCUGGAUUUGAACCAGAACCCUUUACCUGUGAGGGGACAGUGCUAACCACUACCCCACUGUGCAGACCUUUCUUGUUUCAAAAUAGUAGGAAAACGGAGUGACAUCUGAUCAAUAAACUGAAACACAGAAAGGUUAGAAAAUGGUCAACAGUUGGACUUCAGGAUGGUUGAUGCUCAGUUCUUCUGAAAACAUGACUGUGACUCUUGAACAAACCCCGGCAGAACCAAAAGUCCGGAUUCCUCCGCUGUGACCUAGUUGUUGAAAAAUGCCUUUAGUUGGGUUUGGUUGUAAGUCUGUGUUCAUCCCCGUCUCUCUGGGUGUGUUAAUGAAGCCAAAAAUGAAAGGAAUGAAGCAAAGACCAGUUUCUGUCCAACCUGUUGGGGGGGGAGCUUCAUAGAAAUGAAGUGACGAGAGAGAGGGAGUGUUGACUGGUAGAACAGGUUUAGGUGAGGUGGUCAAGUGAGCUUGACUCACUGUGGAGUGGAGGGAGCAGGCUGUUGUGUCAUUGCUUUAACACAGAGACGAAGAGCAAACAGCAAAGAGGACGCUCGGUGGAGAAACCAACCCAGAGGAAGAGAAGCUACGUGUGGACAGGUUCACCGCCCGCUCUGGUUGGUUGGUUGGCUCGCUGACUGGAUUCUGCUCCGCCCUCCACAAUGUCAUCCAACAUCAAUGUCUCUCUGGAUAAUCCAUAUGGUCAGGUGACCAUCCCAAGGGCAAAGCUCCGCCCCUCUGAUGAGGGCAGUACAGUAAUAGUAAAUCCAAUGGCUCUCAGCAGCAAUGAGAAAUCUUACACAGUUUCAAGCUCCGCCCACCAGGAGUCAUAUAUGGUGAAGGAGGAUGGGGGUGUGGACGAGGAGAGAGGGGGCUGUCGCGCCUGCUGCUACCGCUGCAGGAGGAGGAAGUGACAUCACCAUGGCCAGAGUGCAGUGACUGGACCAGAUCUGUAACUUUUCCACAGAAAAAAGAGUUUAAAAGCCAGAAGGGAACAACAGUGAGAGGAGGAAGCUACAGCAGGAGACCACUUUGUGUCUGCAAUCACCUUGACCAGAGCAUGGUCGUGACGGAGGCGGAGUCCAACGGCACGGCUCACCUGAGACGAGUUCUGGACUGAAAAGUCCAGUCAAAUAACUCUGUUUUAAAGUAAAAUUCUUCAAGGUGAACACAGCCAUGUUCCCCUGAACCCCUGACCUCUCUGACCUCUGCAGAGAUCUGUCCUCUUCACACAUUCAGCUACAAACCUUCAGACCUGCAGAACCUGGAGAAUGGACCUCAUUGAUCCUGUGUCCUCUGGUAUGUCCUUACAGAUCAAUGACAGCUUCAGACACAAAUGGCGAAGCUUCUUGGCACAGCUGUUGCCAUGACAACAGCUGAGUGACAUGUUGAGGACACACUGAGGACUGUCGUCCCUCUGGUUGUGAAAUACUCUCGUUUGUUCAGGUUUCUCUGCUCAGAUCUGGACCCAGUGCAGAAAUACAGAAGUUCUGACCCGGUUCUGCUAUGAAGUGCUUGUGUUUGAUGGACUCUAAUGUUGGAUUUUUGUUGUAAACUUUCUUCUGGUCUUUUUUUCAGUUUUACUGGAUGAAGGAAAUUUCAUUAAUGUUUAAAUUCUGAAAAUUUUGCUGAAGGACUUUGAGUGUAAAUUCUUCAGAUCGUGAAAACCAAUCAGGGAAGCUGUUCAAUAAAGUGAUUGUUCCUGUU
Molecule: long non-coding RNA, 2811 nt
Organism: Oryzias melastigma (Indian medaka)
Lineage: Eukaryota; Metazoa; Chordata; Actinopteri; Beloniformes; Adrianichthyidae
Exons: 2
Source: RefSeq, a predicted model, not a curated record